UUAUCAUUAAGCACACCUUCUUUGAAUCCUUCAAGAGCUCUCUGCUCGACUCUAAUACUACUCCCAGCAGUUUUUCCUAGAGCCAUCCCGAGCCAUGCUCCACCCGAUUCAAAUACUUUUUGAGUCCUUCAAGAGCCUUGCUUGACUCUAAUAUUACUCCACCACGUCCUGGGUGUCUCACCACGUCCUGGGUGUCUCAGCAAUUUCCCUAGAGCCUUCCUAAGCCCGCUCCACCCGACUCAAAUCAUCCCGUGCUCCACCUGACACGAGGCCCCCGUGCUCCACCUGACACGAGGCCGUGCUCCACCUGAUUCAACUCUAUUUACUCCACCCACGAGGCCUGCGAAUUGUACCUCUCGCGCACCCCCUCGCACCUUGAAGUUGAUACUUGGACUCCCACCGAACCAUGGGCUCUGAUACCACUUGUAGCGGAAUUGAACGAUCCAUCCCACAUCUAUUCAUCACCUUAGCAGCGCACACCUGUGUAGACGAGCCCAAUAAGUAUGUUGGACCACCUCCUUACCUAAAAGGUUAACCUAUUAGGUUGAUGUUCUACCAUACUUAUUAAGCCAUCUACACUCUUGAAUUUAACCGAUGUGGGAUUCAUGUGAAAUCCUAACAAUCUCCACCUUUCACUUGAAUACCCAUCACAAGUAUUAUACUAGAGUAUCUUAUCAUUAAGCACACCUUCUUUGAAUUCUUCAAGAGCUCUCUGCUCGACUCUAAUACUACUCCCAACAGUUUUUCCUAGAGCCAUCCCGAGCCAUGCUCCACCCGAUUCAAAUACUUUUUGAGUCCUUCAAGAGCCUUGCUUGACUCUAAUAUUACUCCACCACGUCCUGGGUGUCUCACCACGUCCAUCCCGUGCUCCACCUGACACGAGGCCCCCCGUGCUCCACCUUGAAGUUGAUACUUGGACUCCCACCGAACCAUGGGCUCUGAUACCACUUGUAGCGGAAUUGUACGAUCCAUCCCACAUCUAUUCAUCACCUUAGCAGCGCACACACCUGUGUAGACGAGCCCAAUAAGUAUGUUGGACCACCUCCUUACCU
Molecule: long non-coding RNA, 1052 nt
Filed under: Panax ginseng (ginseng)
Lineage: Eukaryota; Viridiplantae; Streptophyta; Magnoliopsida; Apiales; Araliaceae
Description: long non-coding RNA (PGIN_LNC015709)
Source: RNAcentral